UACGUAGGGGGCAAGCGUUGUCCGGAAUCAUUGGGCGUAAAGAGCGUGUAGGCGGCCUGAUAAGUCGGCUGUGAAAGUCAAGGGCUCAACCCUUGAAUGCCGGCCGAUACUGUCAGGCUAGAGUCCGGAAGAGGCGAGUGGAAUUCCUGGUGUAGCGGUGAAAUGCGCUGAUAUCAGGAGGAACACCUAUGGCGAAGGCAGCUCGCUGGGACGGUACUGACGCUGGGGCGCGAAAGCGUGGGGAGCGAACAGG
RNAcentral lists this ribosomal RNA (253 nucleotides) under uncultured bacterium. Its description in RNAcentral is "partial 16S ribosomal RNA". It matches the Rfam family "Bacterial small subunit ribosomal RNA", at positions 524 to 776 of the family's 1533-position model. The record is from RNAcentral.